This 206-nucleotide ribosomal RNA is filed under the name uncultured bacterium. RNAcentral describes it as "partial 16S ribosomal RNA". It matches the Rfam family "Bacterial small subunit ribosomal RNA", at positions 1295 to 1500 of the family's 1533-position model. The record is from RNAcentral.
GGAUCGCAGGCUGAAACCCGCCUGCGUGAAGUUGGAAUCGCUAGUAAUCGCGGAUCAGCAUGCCGCGGUGAAUACGUUCCCGGGCCUUGUACACACCGCCCGUCACACCAUGAGAGUCGGGAACACCCGAAGUCGGUAGUCUAACCGCAAGGAGGACGCCGCCGAAGGUGGGGUUGAUGAUUAGGGUUAAGUCGUAACAAGGUAAC